This 412-nucleotide ribosomal RNA is filed under the name Micropsectra lindrothi. RNAcentral describes it as "partial 16S ribosomal RNA". Lineage: Eukaryota; Metazoa; Arthropoda; Insecta; Diptera; Chironomidae. The record is from RNAcentral.
UAGCAUAAUCMUUAGUUUUUUAAUUGAGAACUGGAAUGAAAGGUUAAAUAAAAAAUAAUCUUUAUUAAUAUUAAAAUUUUUGAAUUUGUUUUUUUAGUAAAAAAACUAAAAUAAAUAAAAAAGACGAUAAGACCCUAUAAAGCUUUAUAAUACAAUAAUUUAAUAAUUUAUUAGAAUAUUUAAAUUAUUUUUUUUUUAUUAUUUGAUUGGGGUGAUUUAAAGAUUUAUAAAACUCUUUAUUUUUGUAAUAUUUCAUAUUUAAAUGUGUUUUGAUCCUUAAAAUUUUAAGAAUAUAAAAAUAAGUUACUUUAGGGAUAACAGCGUAAUUUUUUUGAAGAGUUCUAAUCGAUAAAAAAGAUUGCGACCUCGAUGUUGAAUUAAGAUAAAAAUUAGGUGCAGAAGUUUAAUUUUU